AUUAAGGAAUGUAGCUAAAAAGGUUUGACUUUAUUGUUACGAAUUGCAAAUAUUUAAAAUGUUAAAUGCAUUUUUAAAGAUUAUGAAUAGUGUCUUGGAACCCUUUUGGAAGCCACUGCUCUUGGAGAUCCAUCCAGCUGAAGUUCUGGCAGGUCUAGAUUGGAUCGAUCUGUAUUUAUGAGCUAAGACUUGAGGUCCAUUAGAUGAGCAAGUGUGUAAGUGGAUCCAGAUUGUGUGUUUGAUCCAGGAACUAGAUCCUGCUCAUAAAAGUCCAUCUGGAUGAAGGUCACAUAGUUCCAUAGAGUUAUCAACCUGACGUUCCCAGAGCGGUCCUCACAGCAAGAGCAGACAGUCGGGUCUGAUCGAGUCCUGAACCGCAGCAGAACUACAUCUGAGAAGGAGGAGCUGACAGCUGCCUCGAGGAGGAGGAAAACGGGGCGACCGUCCUCAAACACAGAGAGAGAGUUUGGAGCAGACGUGUAGCUGUGGAAAAUGAAGUUCUGCGGCUCUCUGGACUUCACAUCGGUCGGAAAACACAACACACGUUGCAGCCAGAACUUAACGGACUUCAAUAGCAUGGUGAUUUCCACUCCAUGCACUCUUUAAAAACCC
Onychostoma macrolepis is the source of this 612-nucleotide long non-coding RNA. RefSeq lists it as uncharacterized. The transcript is spliced from 4 exons. Lineage: Eukaryota; Metazoa; Chordata; Actinopteri; Cypriniformes; Cyprinidae. The record is from RefSeq and is a predicted model, not a curated record.